UGGGUACUUAUACAGGAUCAAGGAACCCAAACAACACCUUCUGGCUAGCCAUUUUGGGUGAGGUCCUGGGUUGUUACACAUAUAUUAUAAAUCUGCUAGAAUAUCAACCUCACAAGAUGCAGGAGAUAUGAUUUUUUCCUCUUUUUUAAUUAUUCUUGAAAUUCAAUAUGGUAAUGUAACAUAUUAUAACAAAGGCUUUGGUAGCUAAAUUUUUUUACACACUAACUACUGAACUUUAAUGAUAGUUGAGCAAAAACUUCUAUCAAAUAUCUAAACGAAUAUAGUAAUAUUGGUUUAGAUAAGUAAAUACUUAUCUCUUUUAGUAAAUACAAUCUAAACUAAUGUUCUCAAGUAUCAGUUAUAUUUAUAUUAAUUACAAAAGUAUAACUAGUACUUGAUAAUUGAUACUGAAUAUUGGUAAUAGUAGGUAUUAUAUUAUCUAUAUCUUAUACUCACUUAUCAUCAAAAGAGCAGAUAACAUAAUCCUUACUUAUGAUAGAUAUCUGUUAAUAAAACAUCAUUGUAGGCCUAUCUUCCUCUUGUAUCGACUAUAAGAGUAAAUAACAACCAUUAUCAUCAAGAUUAGGGGGUUUUAUUUUGCAUAUAUAUAACAAACUAUCCAAAAUUAAAAACUAUAUUAAAAUAAGAGUCCUACUUAUUAUUCAAAAUAAAAGACUAUAUUAAUAGUAUUAAUAAUAUGAGUAUCAAAGUAGCAAAUUAAAAGUUCAGACCAAGUUGAGCCUCUAUUUUAGUUAUAUAUAAUAUAAAAGGUUCUCGAGGUUGACUUAUGUGAAUGAAUUUGCACAAACUUUAAAGUUUUGAUUUAAUAGUAGAACAAGUAAGUUCUUCGUGCCUUACACAGGUUAAUCCAUAAGAUUUCUAAAAAUUUUAGGUUGAAUGAAACCUUUUAUGUUAGACAAAUAUUAAUCUAUAAACAAUGGAAUGCAUGCAAAUCUUAAUACUAUAAUAAAUAAUAUUAAAUUAUUUUGGCUUAAUAAAUGAUGAAUGUAGAAAAAAUAUAAAGUAAAAUGGCAUAUUAAGUAUUGUCCCAUGUAGUAUAAAAGGCAUGACAACUACAAAUUUGCCAAAAUUCUACCUUGUGUGCAACUACUAAUAUGAAUGCAAAAGAUUGCCGGUUAUCAAAAUAAUUAUUGUCCUCUUGCAGAGAGCCUUAGAAAGAGGGUUAUACUAAAUGAUGUAAUAAAUAUCUUUUAGUUAGUAUAAGUGUGAAAAAAAUGUUUCAAUAAUGUAUAAAGCAAAAUAAUGUAAACUAAUAGCAUUUGGAAAUAAUAAAAGUCUAAGUUUUAUUUUAAACAUCAAAAUGUUACAAAUAUGUUGGAAUGGAAUUAUUUUGUACUCUUUGUUUUCCUCUUCACAAUUAUUGCCACUGCUAGGAUCCUCUUCGGUGCUUGUCUUGCAAUAUAAUCUAAUGAUAUCCUAUAUGAAUGCCAUAUUGGUGAUCUUUAAGAUCUAAUGGCCCUUUAUUCUCUCUUUUAUUGGAGCUAAAGAGGCUAACUGAACCAAUACAUGUCCUUUACUUGAGGAUCUUUUCUACCUCAUCUAUAUCCAUUAGAUAAUGUUUGAGGUCAUAGAACUAUUUAAUCCCAUUAGCCUUAGAUCCAUGGUCAAUCACUAGAUUGGACGUAAGUGCCAAUUAAUUGAUCAAUAUCAUAGAUGGAGCCAAAUACUCCAUUAUAAUGGAUCAGUAUCAUAUAUAGAGCCUAGUAAAUCACUUUUAUGGCUUGCAAAGCCAAUUCUUCUCAUCCAAUAGUCUAAUUACAUAAUCAAACCAACUCCACGGUCUUUCGGCGGUGAAAUUAGUGAGUCAGAAUCUAUGCCAGCAAUCAAAAAUCCUAUCAAAAUUGUGCAUGAUUUUCAAAAUAAGUUGAAAAAACUAAGAAAUAUAGAAUCACACCCAUAGGGUAGAUUAGUUAUCCCAACCAUAGGGUACUAGGUGUACAAUCAAUCAACACUUAAUUUAUCUCACCUAUCAUAUAAAAUGUGACCCUAACACCUAAGAUUAUAAAUCACUUAUGAGAAUAGAGUUAUGACAUACUCCUAAGAUAGUAAGAUAUAAUCCCUCCAUGUAAUAGCGCAUUGAUUUGCAAUUUCAUCCUUCUACCAUAACCAACAACUUUUAUUAGUCCUCAGGAAAAUAAAUUGAAUAUCUGACCCAUAACAGUUAAGCUUCUAUUGAAAUUAUGAAUCAACAAAACACUAGAGAAACUAUUUUUCCAAACUAUUUGCGAACACCAUAAUAUAUUUUGUAUAUUUAUUUUAUAUACAAAAUAAGAUAUCGUCAACAUGUUUAUAACAAACCAUUGUGCAUUUUUUUUCUCACCUAGUGGAUGCCUUAUAGGGUGUCUCACAUGAUCUCAAUACAAAUUUUAUACACCCAAUUAACCACUGUACACAAACUUGUAUCUUGGUUCAAGUAGUUUGGCUAUCAAAGUGACUCGAUUCAUGCUAGUUCAUGGACUCCUUAGGUUAAGAUAUAUGCAAGGACUAUUGCAUGAUGAGAAUAUCGUUACUCUAUGCCCAUAGACCGGCCAGCCUAGACCAAUGAAGCUCGGCCCUUUUUUUUUUUUUUUUUGGUAACAGAGAGUGAGAGAACACAACAUUUGAAUAAAGGAUAUGCCCCUAGCAUCCGCUCUAAUAAGAUAAGAAAGAUUGGGAGGAAAACUUUCAAUUCAAAGUUUUCUUUUUUUUGGCUAUCUAAUGAGGCCCGGCACUUUGGCUCGGCCUAGAGACGGAGCAAGUCCUAAAAUGGUCUAGUCCCAAAAAAAUAUAAAUGGUGCAAAGCUCCUAUUUCAGGAGGAGGAGGAGGAGUCCUCAAACUUAAAAAUGGAGGCUAGAAAACCCUAGCCUCCAUCAAGGUCGGCCUAACUCUUAGGCGACUGAGGCGGUCGCCUAAGGCUCCGGCUCAAGAGAAGGUCUCAAAGACAAAAUGACCUUAGGCCCCUAAAUGUCAUACCUGGGCCCAAAAAUUUAUUGGGCCCAUAUUUGAGCAUUGGGCCAUGACAUUUAAUGGGCUAACUGGGCCCAUGGUUGACAACCCAGUGUUCGCUGCCACCUCAUGCUUUAUGCAUGGGUGUGACUAGGGCCAGCUGGGGAUCAGAGGAGGACCCAGCUGUUCAAGCCCCUCAUAGGUGUGAUACCUCAUUUUCCCUUCCCCGCUCUUCUUAAGAAUAUCUAUUAAACCUAUUGGUUCUCCCUUGAAAAAAAGAUAAAUCUCAGGAACCUGUGAACCAGGAGAGGAGGUGUUGGAGUGGAGGCACCGGAGCACGGGAUACUGCAAUCUCCUUCGGAAUCAAGAUCCUCAUCACUGAUAGCUGUCAGAGACACUUUAGUUUGGUAUCAGGGCUUAUUUCCUUUGGGGUAAAAUAAAUAUGCUUUUGUGUACAUAAACUACAUAGAAGCUCUGUAUUUGGGUACUGACCAGCAUGUUGUACUAAGAAUAUUUUUAUAUAUAAAGGUUUGGUUGGUUU
Non-coding RNA from Phoenix dactylifera (date palm), 3488 nucleotides. The record is from RefSeq and is a predicted model, not a curated record. NCBI's taxonomy places the organism in Eukaryota, Viridiplantae, Streptophyta, Magnoliopsida, Arecales, Arecaceae.